RNAcentral lists this ribosomal RNA (1737 nucleotides) under Triticum aestivum (bread wheat). RNAcentral's name for it is "partial small subunit ribosomal RNA". Lineage: Eukaryota; Viridiplantae; Streptophyta; Magnoliopsida; Poales; Poaceae. The record is from RNAcentral.
AUGGGGGGAGGGAACGGCAUCGUCGACGGCUUCCGCCGCUUGUUCCACCGCCGCACGCCCUCCGGCUCCGUGCUCGGCAGCUCCAACCAGUCCUCCGCCGGCGAGGACUCCUCCGACGCCGAGGCCGCCGAGGACCUGGAUCUCGUGGGCCUCCGCCCCAUCCGCGUCCCCAAGCGCAAGAUGCCGCUCCCCGUCGAGAGCCACAAGAAGAACAUAAUGGAGAAAGAAUUCUUCACAGAGUAUGGAGAGGCAAGCCAGUACCAAAUCCAGGAAGUUGUUGGCAAGGGGAGUUAUGGAGUAGUUGCUGCUGCAAUAGAUACCCGCACCGGCGAGCGGGUUGCGAUUAAGAAGAUCAACGAUGUGUUUGAGCACGUCUCGGAUGCCACACGCAUCCUCCGCGAGGUCAAGCUCCUUCGGCUGCUACGUCAUCCAGACGUGGUGGAGAUCAAGCACAUAAUGCUCCCCCCUUCUCGGAGGGAGUUCCAAGAUAUAUAUGUUGUUUUCGAGCUCAUGGAGUCGGAUCUCCAUCAGGUCAUCAGAGCUAAUGAUGACCUCACGGCGGAGCAUUACCAGUUUUUCCUUUACCAGCUUCUCCGUGCUCUCAAGUACAUCCAUGGCGCUAAUGUAUUUCAUCGCGAUCUGAAGCCCAAGAAUAUACUGGCCAACGCAGACUGCAAACUGAAAAUUUGUGACUUUGGACUUGCGCGUGUAUCAUUUAAUGAUGCUCCUUCAGCUAUAUUUUGGACGGAUUAUGUAGCAACAAGGUGGUACAGAGCCCCUGAAUUAUGUGGCUCCUUUUUCUCGAAAUACACUCCUGCUAUUGAUAUUUGGAGUAUUGGAUGCAUAUUUGCCGAGCUUCUCACUGGACGGCCACUCUUUCCUGGGAAGAAUGUUGUACACCAGUUAGAUAUAAUAACAGAUCUUCUUGGAACUCCAUCAUCAGAAACCUUAUCUCGGAUUCGAAAUGAGAAGGCCAGGAGGUACUUAAGUUGCAUGCGGAAAAAACACCCUGUACCCUUGACUCAGAAAUUUCCUAAUGCCGAUCCAUUGGCGGUUCGCCUACUGGGUCGUUUACUUGCAUUUGAUCCUAAAGACCGGCCUUCAGCUGAAGAGGCUUUAGCAGACCCAUAUUUUGCAUCUCUUGCCAAUGUGGAGCGUGAGCCAUCAAGGCAUCCAAUUUCGAAACUCGAGUUUGAGUUUGAGAGACGAAAGGUUACAAAAGAUGAUGUUAGGGAAUUGAUCUAUCGAGAGAUUUUGGAGUACCAUCCACAGAUGCUGGAGGAAUACAUGAAAGGUGGAGACCAGAUUAGCUUCCUCUAUCCAAGUGGUGUUGACCGCUUUAAACGGCAGUUUGCACACCUGGAGGAGCAUUACAGCAAAGGAGAACGAGGUUCUCCGCUGCAAAGAAAGCAUGCCUCUUUACCAAGGCAGAGGGUAGGUGCAUCGAACGACGGUAAUAAUGAGCAGCAUAUUAGUGAUCAGGAGAUGAGUGCAGAGCCUGAUGCCCAUGGUGCAGUGAGCCCUCAAAAGUCACAGGAUGCACCCGGUGUUGGCCAGAAUGGUCUGAGCCCCACCAGCUUGAGCUCGCGGACCUACCUCAAGAGCGCGAGCAUUAGCGCUUCCAAGUGCGUCGUUGUCAACCCGAAUAAACAGCCAGAGUAUGACGACGCGAUCUCUGAGGAAACAGAAGGAGCCGUCGAUGGACUAUCCGAGAAGGUCUCAAAGAUGCAUGCCUAG